CGGCAGGCCUAACACAUGCAAGUCGAACGGUAACAGGAAGAAGCUUGCUUCUUUGCUGACGAGUGGCGGACGGGUGAGUAAUGUCUGGGAAACUGCCUGAUGGAGGGGGAUAACUACUGGAAACGGUAGCUAAUACCGCAUAACGUCGCAAGACCAAAGAGGGGGACCUUCGGGCCUCUUGCCAUCGGAUGUGCCCAGAUGGGAUUAGCUAGUAGGUGGGGUAAAGGCUCACCUAGGCGACGAUCCCUAGCUGGUCUGAGAGGAUGACCAGCCACACUGGAACUGAGACACGGUCCAGACUCCUACGGGAGGCAGCAGUGGGGAAUAUUGCACAAUGGGCGCAAGCCUGAUGCAGCCAUGCCGCGUGUAUGAAGAAGGCCUUCGGGUUGUAAAGUACUUUCAGCGGGGAGGAAGGGAGUAAAGUUAAUACCUUUGCUCAUUGACGUUACCCGCAGAAGAAGCACCGGCUAACUCCGUGCCAGCAGCCGCGGUAAUACGGAGGGUGCUAGCGUUAAUCGGAAUUACUGGGCGUAAAGCCCCACGCGGGCGGUUUGCUAAGUCAUAUGUGAAAUCCCCCGGGCUCAACCUGGGAAACUGCAUCUGAUACUGGCAAGCUUGAGUCUCGCAGAGGCGGGUAGAAUUCCAGGUGUAGCGUGGAAAUGCGUAGAGAUCUGGAGGAAUACCGGUGGCGAAGGCGGCCCCCUGGACGAGGACUGACGCUCAGGUGCGAAAGCGUGGGGAGCAAACAGGAUUAGAUACCCUGGUAGUCCACGCCGUAAACGAUGUCGACUUGGAGGUUGUGCCCUUGAGGCGUGGCUUCCGGAGCUAACGCGUUAAGUCGACCGCCUGGGGAGUACGGCCGCAAGGUUAAAACUCAAAUGAAUUGACGGGGGCCCGCACAAGCGGUGGAGCAUGUGGUUUAAUUCGAUGCAACGCGAAGAACCUUACCUGGUCUUGACAUCCACAGAACUUUCCAGAGAUGGAUUGGUGCCUUCGGGAACUGUGAGACAGGUGCUGCAUGGCUGUCGUCAGCUCGUGUUGUGAAAUGUUGGGUUAAGUCCCGCAACGAGCGCAACCCUUAUCCUUUGUUGCCAGCGGUCCGGCCGGGAACUCAAAGGAGACUGCCAGUGAUAAACUGGAGGAAGGUGGGGAUGACGUCAAGUCAUCAUGGCCCUUACGACCAGGGCUACACACGUGCUACAAUGGCGCAUACAAAGAGAAGCGACCUCGCGAGAGCAAGCGGACCUCAUAAAGUGCGUCGUAGUCCGGAUUGGAGUCUGCAACUCGACUCCAUGAAGUCGGAAUCGCUAGUAAUCGUGGAUCAGAAUGCCACGGUGAAUACGUUCCCGGGCCUUGUACACACCGCCCGUCACACCAUGGGAGUGGGUUGCAAAAGAAGUAGGUAGCUUAACCUUCGGGAGGGCGCUUACCACUUUGUGAUUCAUGACUGGGGUG
RNAcentral lists this ribosomal RNA (1455 nucleotides) under uncultured organism. RNAcentral describes it as "SSU rRNA". It matches the Rfam family "Bacterial small subunit ribosomal RNA". The record is from RNAcentral.